Molecule: long non-coding RNA, 2034 nt
Organism: Hordeum vulgare subsp. vulgare (domesticated barley)
Lineage: Eukaryota; Viridiplantae; Streptophyta; Magnoliopsida; Poales; Poaceae
Exons: 2
Source: RefSeq, a predicted model, not a curated record
CUUGACCGAUUCAGCGUCGCUGUCUGUCAUCGUAGAUCGUCGAGGCUCUAGAUACCAAUUGUUGGCUUCAAAACGCCAGAUCAGAUCACACGUAUGUCUAUGUGCUAAGCUAGCACACAACCAGGCAGCUGGAUGGAUCGAUUCUUGCUGGACACGAGUAGCUAGCUUACUCAGCUAAGCUAGCGACCAUCUCGCCGGCGCUAAUUCAAUUUCGACAGAACACGACAAGUCGAGGUGAUGGCGAACAGGGCCGUGUCGGUCCUGUGUAUAGCUUUUCUUUUUCUUGGUGAUUUACAACCUGGGUUACAUAGGUAUAUAUAGGAGCUAACUAGUCCUAUAGCUAACCUAGUCGGUUUCCUGUACUAGUCCGUCUCGGACUAAAACUUGAAAAUCCUAAGCCGUGUUUAACUCUAAUAGUGGUAAGUCUUUGUCGGCACUUAUCUUCCGUUUGCUUUUCUCUUGGUUUUGUUCUCAUGUGCCGUGCCGGCUCCGGCCGCAGCGGUUUGUGCGGCAAAUGAUGCCAGACGACCGCACCCCAAUAUCUUGGAGGUGCAUCGCGCCGAGUCGAACGAGGAGGACCUCGAGCUCAGGAGAGGCGACGAUGCGACCGACUCUGACUGGGACAGUGGGCCGGAGGUGGGGCCGGCCGACACCGGUGCCAGUGGGUCCAGGACAGCCAGUGAGUCUCGCCUCGAAGUUAUGCUUAGAGACUGGCCAGAUGACGACGAUGACGAUGUCCAAAUACUAGACGCUCCGCCUGCCGCAGCGUCGCCGCCCAGAAGACGACAACGAGGAGGGGUCGGGAGAUUUCGGCCGGGAGGCAGCCGGCCCGGCACUAGGCGACUGACGUAUGCUGGCCUGAAAAGCGGCAGGUUGAGGUGCAGCCGGCCACGAAAAAGGCGUGGUCCGCUGCCAUCUCGCUGGGCGCCCGACCGCCGGCUCGAAGCGGACGCCAGAUUCCCAAGUCCUCCGGCUCCGCCAUCCAGCUAUCAACGGCCGCUGCCACGGCCGGGCCCGGGGAUGCGGCGGCUAGACUUGCCGUGGAGCGCUCCGCCACAGUGCUGCUAGAGAAAGAGCGGGCCGCCGCGCAGGUGGAGGUGGCGGCCAAGAGCGCAACAAGUGCCACGACGCCGCCGGAGAUAGAAGGCAGCCGAGUCGACGAGUCGCCCCUCCACGAGGGUCGCGCCAAGCACCAACACGAGCGCGGAGAAGGAGGUAGCUCCCGGGAAGCCGGCCCACGAGACAAAUGUUGAGCUGAGGGAGGAGGAGGCCCCCGACCCGGCCGCCGUCAGACCAAUCGAGGGUGAUGCGGCGCCGACCGCCGAGAAGGAGUUAGCUCCUGGAGGAAGCGCGACGUCUGGUUCGGACUCCGUGGUCGACGCGACGGAGGAGGCGCCACACCCGCCGGAGUCGAGGGUCCCGGAAGCGGACGCCACCACCAUCGUCAUAUCCACGGCGCGCGCCAACACCGCCCCAUCCGGCCCGACCGCCUUGAGGUUGACCGGCGGCGGGGCCGGCCACGCGAUCAGGACGAUGCGCCAGAUCCAGGUGGAGUGGGCGAAGCUGAGUGCCGUCCCGGACACAGCCGGUCCGAACAGGCCAGUAAGCGCAAAAGCCCUCGUGCCGGUCGGGACGUCACCGCGAGGGGCUCAUCAGCUUUGGCGAGGCGGCUGUGAGCAACUUCCAGCUGGUGGAGCGGGCUUUCCAGUUUGGCAUUUCCUGAUUAUGUAUGCUUUAGUGAUGGCUCAACUUGCAGAUUGGGUACAAAAUUAGUUUCGAUUCUUCCGUGCUUCAUAUUGCCCUAUUUGGAGAUACACUAGUUAAUUGCCCAUGGGGCUAAUGAACACUCAUAGUAUAUUAUGGGUAUCAAACUCUGCACAACUAUAAGUUCUUCAAAUGCAUAUACCUCAUGACACUUCAUUUGUGUGUGCUACCCUAUGUCAUGACAAUUACAAAUUUGCUAUUUGAUGGCUGUGUUUGUUAUGUGUAACACAACUGUUUCAAGAAUUUGCAUUCUUAAAGUUACUGACACGA